RNAcentral lists this ribosomal RNA (464 nucleotides) under uncultured bacterium. Its description in RNAcentral is "partial 16S ribosomal RNA". It matches the Rfam family "Bacterial small subunit ribosomal RNA", at positions 338 to 795 of the family's 1533-position model. The record is from RNAcentral.
CCUACGGGUGGCAGCAGUGGGGAAUCUUCCGCAAUGGGCGAAAGCCUGACGGAGCAACGCCGCGUGAUCGAAUGAAGGCCUUCGGGUUGUAAAGAUCUGUUGUCAGGGACGAAUAAGCAAUGCGAAUAGUUUUGUGUAUGACGGUACCUGUUUAGAAAGCUCCGGCUAACUACGUGCCAGCAGCCGCAGUCAUACGUAGGGAGCAAUCGUUGUCCGGAAUUACUGUGCGUAAAGGGCGCGUAGGUGGGCGCUUAAGUCAGGUGUGAAACGUCCGGGCUCAACCUGGGGACUGCACUUGAAACUGGGUGUCUUGAGGGCAGGAGAGGAAGGUGGAAUGCCUGGUGUAGCGGUGAAAUGCGUAGAUAUUAGGAGGAACACCAGGGGCGAAGGCGACUUUCUGGACUGUACCUGACGCUGAGGCGCGAAAGCGUGGGUAGCGAACGGUAUUAGAUACCCUUGUAGUC